RNAcentral lists this unclassified non-coding RNA (240 nucleotides) under soil metagenome. RNAcentral's name for it is "partial contains 5.8S ribosomal RNA, internal transcribed spacer 2, and large subunit ribosomal RNA". The record is from RNAcentral.
AAGACUAUAGACCUGCGGAGUACCUGCGGAGGGAUCAUUACAUGGCGGAGGAGGUGGGCACCUAGUAAAAACAAAACCCUAGGUGUGUUGCCUACCACGCUUUCUACCCUUGUCUAUUUGCACCUUUUGUCGUUCCCUCGGUGGGUCUUGAACCUGCCGGCGGCAACUUUCAAAAACCUUUUGUAGUUAGUAUCUAAUUCUUCUGAUCAAAUAUUCAAUCGUUACAACUUUUAGCAAUGG